AAUCAUGCAAUCAACCAUUUACUGAGAACCUGCUUUGUUGCUCAACUCUGUGCUGGCGACUCUCAGGAAGACAGGGAAGGGCUACCUGGUUUCUGCCUGAGCAGCAAGUGAUGAAGGAGAGUGAGCGUAUGAGAGAGUAAGAGAGUGAGCCCAAUCGUGGACUGACCACACAAUUGACCCUGGUUUACUGUGAGAAAGGACACAGACUGUGAACACCAGGAGCUUGACUACAUUUCCCAGCGUCCUUUGGAGUGAGACUACAUCUCCCAGCAUCCUGGCAGUUAGACAAUUUUCUAGUCUCCUUUGCAGGGAUCUUGGAAGCCCCAUGUUGAAGGUGGCAGAGCAACAAAAAUUGAGGAAACCCUGAAUCCCUGAAUUACUAUUUGGAGAUGACCACCCACUAAUUCGGAACACUCAUUAUUGGGCUUUAGGAGAAUGAGAAGUUCUAUCAUGUUUGAGACUCCGUACAUCUUUGGAUUUGUUUUAACAGCUAGUUUUACCCUGGCUAACAUGGCAAUUGACAGCCUCUGAGAGGAGAUUU
Long non-coding RNA from Homo sapiens (human), 541 nucleotides. Ensembl annotates it as long intergenic non-protein coding RNA 2923. The record is from Ensembl. Lineage: Eukaryota; Metazoa; Chordata; Mammalia; Primates; Hominidae.